RNAcentral lists this unclassified non-coding RNA (125 nucleotides) under uncultured Sordariomycetes. Its description in RNAcentral is "sequence contains ITS1". The record is from RNAcentral. Lineage: Eukaryota; Fungi; Ascomycota; Sordariomycetes.
CCGAAGUUACCUUCAAAACCCACUGUGAACCUUACCUCUUGCCGCGUUGUCUCGGCGGGGACGGGAGCGCCAAACUCUAAAUGCACAGCGGACUGUACGUUCUGAUUUACAAAAAAAACAAGUUA